RNAcentral lists this small nuclear RNA (20 nucleotides) under Arabidopsis thaliana (thale cress). RNAcentral's name for it is "snRNA_08622". Lineage: Eukaryota; Viridiplantae; Streptophyta; Magnoliopsida; Brassicales; Brassicaceae. The record is from RNAcentral.
AGAGGAGUGAAUUUGUCUAA